This 447-nucleotide ribosomal RNA is filed under the name Pseudomonas sp. RNAcentral's name for it is "bacterial SSU rRNA". It matches the Rfam family "Bacterial small subunit ribosomal RNA", at positions 39 to 478 of the family's 1533-position model. The record is from RNAcentral. Lineage: Bacteria; Pseudomonadati; Pseudomonadota; Gammaproteobacteria; Pseudomonadales; Pseudomonadaceae.
GGGCAGUGCGGCAGCUACACAUGCAGUCGAGCGGAUGACGGGAGCUUGCUCCUUGAUUCAGCGGCGGACGGGUGAGUAAUGCCUAGGAAUCUGCCUGGUAGUGGGGGACAACGUUUCGAAAGGAACGCUAAUACCGCAUACGUCCUACGGGAGAAAGCAGGGGACCUUCGGGCCUUGCGCUAUCAGAUGAGCCUAGGUCGGAUUAGCUAGUUGGUGGGGUAAUGGCUCACCAAGGCGACGAUCCGUAACUGGUCUGAGAGGAUGAUCAGUCACACUGGAACUGAGACACGGUCCAGACUCCUACGGGAGGCAGCAGUGGGGAAUAUUGGACAAUGGGCGAAAGCCUGAUCCAGCCAUGCCGCGUGUGUGAAGAAGGUCUUCGGAUUGUAAAGCACUUUAAGUUGGGAGGAAGGGCAGUAAGCUAAUACCUUGCUGUUUUGACGUUAC